RNAcentral lists this transfer RNA (76 nucleotides) under Lophoziopsis pellucida. RNAcentral's name for it is "partial tRNA-Leu". It matches the Rfam family "tRNA", at positions 10 to 71 of the family's 71-position model. Rfam says of the family: Transfer RNA (tRNA) molecules are approximately 80 nucleotides in length. Their secondary structure includes four short double-helical elements and three loops (D, anti-codon, and T loops). The record is from RNAcentral. Lineage: Eukaryota; Viridiplantae; Streptophyta; Jungermanniopsida; Jungermanniales; Lophoziaceae.
UCGAAAUCGGUAGACGCUACGGAUUUAAAAUCCGUUGGCUUUUUAGACCGUGAGGGUUCAAGUCCCUCUACCCCCA